RNAcentral lists this long non-coding RNA (1095 nucleotides) under Malus domestica (apple). RNAcentral describes it as "long non-coding RNA (MDOM_LNC008492)". The record is from RNAcentral. Lineage: Eukaryota; Viridiplantae; Streptophyta; Magnoliopsida; Rosales; Rosaceae.
AACCUUGAGAAUAACGACGUCACCAUUAUACAUGAUUCUCAAUCAUGUGGUUCAGUCUCUCAUUUGAGUUCAGAUCGUGAUGAGACCUUGAUUCCCUGGCUUGAGCUAUCGCCCCAUUAGUGUCGUAGUGUCGGUACACUAGAGACACUUUUUGGUUGGAACCGAAUAGAGAGUUCAUAAAUGAACUUUCUCAUCCAAACAACAUUGUUGUAAGCUUCUAUAUGGCAAUAUAUUUUGCAUUCACAAUGGAACACACUAAAGUCAUUACUUUUAAUGUUUCCAUCCAAAUAUCUCUUUUAGUCAUAAUAAAGAGAUAUAUGAUUAUCUUUUCAUUCAUAAUGAAGAAACAUCCAAUGAUGGAUUAGAUUCAUAAUCUAAUACAUUUACGCUUCCAUUUCGUUACUCUAAUUCUUCCUCAUUCUUUGAGGAAUCUAUCCUUUAGUAUUUCUUAAAUACUUAAGGACUCACUUGACAGUUGCCAUGGUUCUGAUCCUGGGCUUGCAUUGAUAUUGUCUUGUACCGAUCUAGGUACAAUUCAUAUCAAUGUUUUUCAUACAAUAUGAAAUACAUAAAUCACCUUUCUACGUAUGCAUAAAGGAUUCUAUUUACGCAUUAUUUCUUUGGGAGUCAAAGGGUACGUUCCCUUUGAGAAGGGCAACUUGCUAGUCUCACUAGAGUUGUCCUUCUAAUUGAAGUUUAUCAUCAUAUGAGAAACUUCCUAGCAUCUUUUGUCUAUUAUUAGGGAUUGAUAUAAUCCAAUUAUAUCUUGAAAUAUAUCAUUAUAGAUUUCCAUCCCAUGUAUAUAGACUAUGUCUCCCAUAUCCAUUCUAUCGUUAUAGAAUGUUUAAAGUCAUAACUUUAACGAAGAAGUAUUCUUUUCAUUUCCAAAAUUAAUAUAUCAUAUAUGUGUGUGUGUAUAUAUAUAUAUAUAUAUUUAAAUUUAGGAACAUGAUUAACUCCCACUAAUCUUUUGUAAACCUAGUAAACAAAAGAUUCAUUUACAUCUUUAUGAGAAAUCAAACAAUUUGAUCUUUCUCUCAUAAGACGUUUAUAGCUCCCACUAGCUUGCUAAGAUCCAUGAUGGAUGGAUCUCUA